ACUGAAGUAUGACAAUGUGCAAAGGCUACUUGAACAAGUUUUGAUGCGGAUGAGAAACAAGUUUUGAUGCGGAUGAGAAACAAGUUUUAUUGGGACCCUUGCAUUUUAUCAUAUGUAAAUGUAUUUUAGUGACAAUAUUUGUAGAGUUCAUUAUUUACUUGAGCUGAAAAUAGUUGUACAUUAACGUGAUUUUGUAACAUUUGAAUGAAAUAAUUUAUGUGUCUUGGUGAUAGAAGAUUAAUAGUAGUUAAUUAAAUAAUUAUUAGGUAGUAUUUAAUUAAGUAAUUUAGAUAUUAAUGAGAUAUAUUAUUUAUAUUAUUAGUUUGAUAUUUAUGUUAUUGGAUUGUCAAAUGAGUUUUAUUCCCUUAGGCCCAUUAGGAGUCCUAUAUAUGUAGUGUUCUUUCAUAUUUUAACCUAAUGAAUGAAAAUGAAGUCUUUUAUUUUAUGUUUAUUUUACUUGUUUUCUUUAUUG
Molecule: long non-coding RNA, 472 nt
Filed under: Trifolium pratense (red clover)
Lineage: Eukaryota; Viridiplantae; Streptophyta; Magnoliopsida; Fabales; Fabaceae
Description: long non-coding RNA (TPRA_LNC008836)
Source: RNAcentral